Molecule: transfer RNA, 83 nt
Filed under: bacterium
Lineage: Bacteria
Description: tRNA-Leu
Rfam family: tRNA
About the family: Transfer RNA (tRNA) molecules are approximately 80 nucleotides in length.
Source: RNAcentral
GCUCGGGUGGCGAAAUGGCAUACGCACUGGUCUCAAGAACCAGCGAGGGUAACCUCAUGGGAGUUCGACUCUCCCCCCGAGCA